AUGUUGAGCAUCCAUUGCCAUAUUCGUGCUAUUGAUAAACAGUCUCACUAUGACAUCAUUUUGCACCGUGGUUGCAUUAAUCAUAUUUACAACACAUUUGUGUGCACAAUGAUUGCAUUUCCUCCCAUGAAUGCUUUGCAUCUCAGUCAAGAACAUCUUGAUAAGCUUCAUGCGCUUUGUCACGACCAAUCUUGCCGCACGGACUCAUUCUUACAUGAUGGACACUUUGUGUGCGCUAACCAUUGUAUUUCCGAGUGUUGCUUUUGUUUGCUCUUUUUGCAUGUCUAUCACUCCAGCGACACCUUGGACUACUUGGAUUGCGCCAUGUCUUCAACUUCGUCCAACUACAAGUCCGUCUACGACAACCAUUUCCAUGGUGAUGAGGAUCAUGAUCCGAGGUCGGAUCUUUCGCAAGGGGGGGGGGGGGAGAUGAUGCGAAGCAUCCCACGUUCAUCCCCAUGUACACUCCGACUACUCUCCAAACCCCAAGAGGACAUAUGA
Molecule: ribosomal RNA, 501 nt
Filed under: Triticum aestivum (bread wheat)
Lineage: Eukaryota; Viridiplantae; Streptophyta; Magnoliopsida; Poales; Poaceae
Description: partial small subunit ribosomal RNA
Source: RNAcentral